Molecule: ribosomal RNA, 443 nt
Filed under: uncultured bacterium
Lineage: Bacteria
Description: partial 16S ribosomal RNA
Rfam family: Bacterial small subunit ribosomal RNA
Source: RNAcentral
CCUACGGGAGACAGCAGUGGGGAAUAUUGGGCAAUGGAGGAAACUCUGACCCAGCAACGCCGCGUGAAUGAUGAAGGUCUUCGGAUUGUAAAGUUCUUUUCUAAGGGAAGAAGAAAGUGACGGUACCUUAGGAAUAAGCCUCGGCUAACUACGUGCCAGCAGCCGCGGUAAUACGUAGGAGGCGAGCGUUAUCCGGGAUGACUGGGCGGAAAGGGUGCGUAGGUGGGUUGGCAAGUUAGUAGCGUAACUCCAAGGCUCAACCUUGGAACUACUACUAAAACUGUUGGACUUGAGUGCAGGAGGGGCAACCGGAAUUCCUAGUGUAGCGGUGGAAUGCGUAGAUAUUAGGAGGAACACCAGUGGCGAAGGCGGGUUGCUGGACUGUAACUGACGCUGAGGCACGAAAGCGUGGGGAGCAAACAGGAUUAGAUACCCGAGUAGUC